Long non-coding RNA from Brienomyrus brachyistius, 1576 nucleotides. RefSeq lists it as uncharacterized. Lineage: Eukaryota; Metazoa; Chordata; Actinopteri; Osteoglossiformes; Mormyridae. The transcript is spliced from 2 exons. The record is from RefSeq and is a predicted model, not a curated record.
CGGGGCUCGGGUUGCUGUCUCGAGCGUCUCUACAGUCACCUAACACUCAUCCAUCCUCGUUGGUGCGGGAAAAGCCAGAACUGCUACCGUGAGCAGAGGGUUCAGGCUGAAGUUAAACUGAACCAUGAACCACAGCUCAGGCUGAAUAACAGAAUUAGCAAGAUGUAAUGAGAGAGACAGUGUGAAUAACCAUCAAAGAGCAUCGAUUGUGCCUGUUGCUACGGAUGGGCGUAAUUAUGAACCUGUCUGUACUCACUGCUCAGCGACGUGCUCCGACCAAACUCGACCCUGUGACAGGACUGCGGCUGCGACCUGCGGAUGGAGAUCACCUGACCACGCUGGUGUCCCAGUUUGAGGCCCUAGCUCCCUGCUCCCUGCCUAUACUCCUUUCCCAAAGCUACAGUGACUGUCCUGUACAGUAUGUUUGCUUGUUCUACUUCCCCAGCUUGUUAGCCGCAAACCCUAAUCCAUCCUGCCAUGCUUUAGGUCAAUGGUCACCAGCCCCUCUCCUGCUGAUCAACCACCCUACAGAGCUUAGGUGCCGGCCUAAUUUAGCAGACCUGAUACAGAUAAGUACUGGAGCCAGCGACUUUGAAGCUAAUCGUUGGCUCUAAGACUGAGAUGCUACUGAAGGUCCUGAUUAUCGGUGUCAGGUGUACCUUGUAAAUUAGGGCUGUACCUUAGCUCUGCAGGGUGGUAGAUCUGCAGGAGCAGGGUUGGUGACCAUUGCUUUAGGUAAACGUAAUAAGGAAUAUUCUCUGUCACAAAGGUGGGGGUUUGGAGCGGGGAAGCGGGCACGGGAAGUCUGAGAAGUCAGGUGAACAUGGGGUUUACUCAGGAGCAGCACACUUUGGAGCACAGAAUGAUGUCACAGACAUUAAUGACCGGACUCAGGAAAACACACAGACACGGACUUAAAUGCGUAACCACAAUUUACAAUUUAAUACGAACGGCUGAAGACAUAGGGAUUCCACACGAGGCACACGAGGGGGGUGUGGCACACAAGAGGAUCAGAACGAUCAGGACGUGACACUCUCAGUGUGGGGUGUUACAGGCAAACCCCCAUCCUUUCCAUUUGGCCUGUGAAUUCUCCGCUGCAUCGUGGUUUAUAGGUUAUAUGUUAUUUAGCACCAUAUUAGUGCACAUUGAAUGAUCUCAUAGCUUAAGUCAGGCAUGAGUAACAAACUGGACUGGUUAGCUAGUGAGCUAAUCUACUAACAUUCCUGUUUUUAGGCUAUUUUCCAUGUUUAUCCGUAUUUGAAAUGUGCACUUGAAAUAUGUUUCAAAUACGGUACUGUGCAGAAGUCUUGGUCAGUCAAAGAAAGUGGUCUUUAAAUGAUCUUUGCGUUGGUGUAAAAAUAUGAUAUUAAGCCUGUCAAAGUGUGUCAGCUUAGCAUUUCAGAACCUCUCCUAAAAUCAGCCCAGUAUUUACAGUAACGGUCCAAUCCACUCAUGUAUUUUUUGACUUAUCCACUAGCACACCUCACAUGGCCAAUCAGUCUCAUUGAGUUAUUUAACUAAUUAUGUUAAUUAAUAUAUUGAACUGGUGGAAAAAUUUAACCAAUAUAUGGAAUGA